AACGCACAUUGCGCCCGCCAGUACUCUGGCGGGCAUGCCUGUUCGAGCGUCAUUUCAACCCUCAAGCUCUGCUUGGUGUUGGGGAUCGGCACAAGCGCCCUCGGGCUGCCGCCGUCCCCUAAAUCUAGUGGCGGUCCCGCUGCAGCCUCCUCUGCGUAGUAGUUUACUCCUCGCUCUGGAAGCUCGGCGGUGCCCUGCCGUUAAACCCCCAACUUCUGAAAGGUUGACCUCGAAUCAGGUAGGAAUACCCGCUGAACUUAA
RNAcentral lists this unclassified non-coding RNA (261 nucleotides) under uncultured fungus. RNAcentral's name for it is "partial contains 5.8S ribosomal RNA, internal transcribed spacer 2, and large subunit ribosomal RNA". The stretch from base 1 to 52 matches the Rfam family "5.8S ribosomal RNA", at positions 103 to 154 of the family's 154-position model. The record is from RNAcentral. Lineage: Eukaryota; Fungi.